GAUGAACGCUGACAGAAUGCUUAACACAUGCAAGUCGAUUCGAUUUACCUUCGGGUAUUGAGGAUGGCGGACGGGUGAGUAACGCGUAAGGAACUUGCCUCUUGGUCUGGGACAACUGUUGGAAACGACAGCUAAUACCGGAUAUUAUGAGAUUCUCGCAUGGGAAACUUAUGAAAGCUAUAUGCGCCAAGAGAGAGCCUUGCGUUCCAUUAGCUAGUUGGUGGGGUAACGGCCCACCAAGGCGACGAUGGAUAGCCGGCCUGAGAGGGUGAACGGCCACAAGGGGACUGAGACACGGCCCUUACUCCUACGGGAGGCAGCAGUGGGGAAUAUUGGACAAUGGGCCACAAGCCUGAUCCAGCAAUUCUGUGUGCACGAUGGAGGUCUUCGGAUUGUAAAGUGCUUUCAGUUGGGAAGAAGGAAGUGACGGUACCAACAGAAGAAGCGACGGCUAAAUACGUGCCAGCAGCCGCGGUAAUACGUAUGUCGCAAGCGUUAUCCGGAUUUAUUGGGCGUAAAGCGCGUCUAGGCGGAAAAAUAAGUCUGAUGUUAAAAUGCGGGGCUCAACUCCGUAUUGCGUUGGAAACUGUUUUUCUAGAGUACUGGAGAGGUGGGCGGAACUACAAGUGUAGAGGUGAAAUUCGUAGAUAUUUGUAGGAAUGCCGAUGGAGAANUCAGCUCACUGGACAGAUACUGACGCUAAAGCGCGAAAGCGUGGGGAGCAAAC
This 727-nucleotide ribosomal RNA is filed under the name uncultured prokaryote. RNAcentral's name for it is "bacterial SSU rRNA". It matches the Rfam family "Bacterial small subunit ribosomal RNA", at positions 28 to 773 of the family's 1533-position model. The record is from RNAcentral.